RNAcentral lists this ribosomal RNA (437 nucleotides) under uncultured bacterium. RNAcentral's name for it is "partial 16S ribosomal RNA". It matches the Rfam family "Bacterial small subunit ribosomal RNA", at positions 29 to 507 of the family's 1533-position model. The record is from RNAcentral.
AGCGAACGCUGGCGGCAGGCUUAACACACGCAAGUCGAGCGGGCAUCCUUGUGGUGUCAGCGGCAGACGGGUGAGUAACGCGUGGGAACGUGCCCUUCGGUUCGGAAUAACUCAGGGAAACUUGAGCUAAUACCGGAUACGUGCGAGAGCAGAAAGGUUUAUCUGCCGAAGGAUCGGCCCGCGUCUGAUUAGCUAGUUGGUGAGGUUACGGCUCACCAAGGCGACGAUCAGUAGCUGGUCUGAGAGGAUGAUCAGCCACACUGGGACUGAGACACGGCCCAGACUCCUACGGGAGGCAGCAGUGGGGAAUAUUGGACAAUGGGGGCAACCCUGAUCCAGCCAUGCCGCGUGAGUGAUGACGGCCUUAGGGUUGUAAAGCUCUUUUCUCCGGGACGAUAAUGACGGUACCGGAGGAAUAAGCCCCGGCUAACUUCGUG